UAGCAGCUUUUAAGAAAAUUAUUUAAAAAUACAACCUAUUGAUUGAAAAACUCAGAAACAAUACUCAUCUAUCCACAAAUAUUCUUGUUAUCCUAAUUUCUAAAUCACAAACCCUAAUCUAUAGUAUUUCUCUAAAAAAUGAAAACAUCCAAAAAUAGCAGUUUUUUAGAAAAUUAUUUAAAAAUACAACCUAUUGAUGAAAAACUCAGAACAAAUACUCAUCUAUACACAAAUAUUUUUGUUAUCCUAAUUUUUAAAUUACAAACCCUAAUCUACAUUAUUUCUAAAAAAAUGAAAACUUUCCAAAAAUAGCAGUUUUUAAGAUAUUUAAAAAUACAGCUUAUUGAUGAAAAACUUAGAAAAAAUACUCAUCUAUGCACAAAUAUUCUUGUUAUCCUAAUUUCUAAAUCACAAACCCUAAUCUACAGCAUUUCUCUAAAAAGUGAAAAGUUUCCAAAAUAGCAGUUUUUUUGAAAAUUAUUUUAAAUACUGUAGAACUGAUGAAAAAUUCUUUAAGUAUAACGAAUCUAUCCACAAAUAUUCUUGUUAUCCUAAUUAUUAAAUCACAAACCCUAAUCUACACUAUUUCUCUAAAAAAUGAAAACUUUUCAAAAAUAGCAACUUUUAAGAAAAUUAUUUAAAAAUACAGCUUAUUGAUGAAAAACAUAGAAAAAAUACUCAUCUAUGCACAAAUAUUCUUGUUAUCCUAAUCUCUAAAUCACAAACCCUAAUCUAUAGUAUUUCUCUAAAAAAUGAAAACUUUCCAAAUAUAGCAGUUUUUAAGAAAAUUAUUUAAAAAUACAACCUAUUGAUUGAAAAACUAAGAAACAAUACUCAUCUAUCGACAAAUAUUCUUGUUAUCCUAAUUUCUAAAUCACAAACCCUAAUUACAGUAUUUCUCUAAAAAAUAAUAUAGAAGCUUUUAAGAAAAUUAUUAAAAAAUACAACCUAUUGAUUAAAAAACUCAGAAAAAUACUCAUCCAUUCACAAAUAUUCUUGUUAUCCUAAUUUCUAAAUCACAAACCCUAAUCUAUAGUAUUUCUCUAAAAAAUGAAAACAUCCAAAAAUAGCAGUUUUUUAGAAAAUUAUUUAAAAAUACAACCUAUUGAUUGAAAAACUCAGAAACAAUACUCAUCUAUCCACAAAUAUUCUUGUUAUCCUAAUUUCUAAAUCACAAACCCUAAUCUAUAGUAUUUCUCUAAAAAAUGAAAACAUCCAAAAAUAGCAGUUUUUUAGAAAAUUAUUUAAAAAUACAACCUAUUGAUUGAAAAACUCAGAAACAAUACUCAUCUAUCCACAAAUAUUCUUGUUAUCCUAAUUUCUAAAUCACAAACCCUAAUCUAUAGUAUUUCUCUAAAAAAUGAAAACAUCCAAAAAUAGCAGUUUUUUAGAAAAUUAUUUAAAAAUACAACCUAUUGAUUGAAAAACUCAGAAACAAUACUCAUCUAUCCACAAAUAUUCUUGUUAUCCUAAUUUCUAAAUCACAAACCCUAAUCUAUAGUAUUUCUCUAAAAAAUGAAAACAUCCAAAAAUAGCAGUUUUUUAGAAAAUUAUUUAAAAAUACAACCUAUUGAUGAAAAACUCAGAACAAAUACUCAUCUAUACACAAAUAUUUUUGUUAUCCUAAUUUUUAAAUUACAAACCCUAAUCUACAUUAUUUCUAAAAAAAUGAAAACUUUCCAAAAAUAGCAGUUUUUAAGAUAUUUAAAAAUACAGCUUAUUGAUGAAAAACUUAGAAAAAAUACUCAUCUAUGCACAAAUAUUCUUGUUAUCCUAAUUUCUAAAUCACAAACCCUAUUCUACAAACCCUAAUCUACAGCAUUUCUCUAAAUCACAAACCCUAUUCUUGAUAUCAUAAAUUUUUAAACCACAAACCCUAAUCUACAGCAUUUCUCUAAAAAUGAAAACUUUUCAAAAAUAGCAACUUUUAAGAAAAUUAUUUAAAAAUACAGCUUAUUGAUGAAAAACUUAGAAAAAAUACUCAUCUAUGCACAAAUAUUCUUGUUAUCCUAAUUUCUAUGAAAACUUUUCAAAAAGAGCAGUUUUUUAGAAAAUUAUUUAAAAAUACAACCUAUUGAUGAAAAACUCAGAAAAAAUACUCAUCUAUCCACAAAUAUUCUUGUUAUCCCAAUUUCUAAAUCACAAACCUUAAUCUACAGUAUAUUUCCAAGGAAUGAAAACUUUUCAAAAAUAGCAACUUUUAAGAAAAUUAUUUUAAAAUACAGCUUAUUGAUGAAAAACUUAGAAUAAAUACUCAUCUAUGCACAAAUAUUCUUGUUAUCCUAAUUUCCAAAUCACAAACCCUAAUCUAGAGUAUUUUUCUAAAAAAUGAAAACUUUUCAAAGAUAGCAGCCUUUGAGAAAAUUAUUUAAAAAUACAACCUAUUGAUGAAAAACUAAGAAAAAAUACUCAUCUAUCCACAAAUAUUCUUGUUAUCAUAAUUUCUAAAUCACAAACCCUAAUCUACAGUAUUUCUAUAAAAAAAUGAAAUCUUUCCAAAUACAGCAGCUUUUAAGAAUACAACCUAUUGAUUGAAAAACUCAGAUAUUCUUGUUAUUUGACAAUACUCAUCUAUCCACAAAUAUUCUUGUUAUCCUAAUUUCCAAAUCACAAACCCUAAUCUAGAGUAUUUCUCUAAAAAAUGAAAACUUUUCAGAAAUAGCAGCUUUUAGGAAAAUUAUUUAAAAAUACAGCUUAUUGAUGAAAAACUUAGAAAAAAUACUCAUCUAUCCACAAAUAUUCUUGUUAUCCUAAUUUCCAAAUCACAAACCCUAAUCUAGAGUAUUUCUCUAAAAAAUGAAAACUUUUCAGAAAUAGCAGCUUUUAGGAAAAUUAUUUAAAAAUACAGCUUAUUGAUGAAAAACUUAGAAAAAAUACUCAUCUAUCCACAAAUAUUCUUGUUAUCCUAAUAUUUAAAUCACAAACUCUAAUCUACAGUAUUUCUCUAAAAAUGAAAACAUUUCAAAAAUAGCAAUUUUUAAGAAAAUUAUUUAAAAAUACAACAUAUUGAUGAAAAACUCAGAAAAAAUACUCAUCUAUCCACAAAUAUUCUUGUUAUCCUAAUUUUUAAAUCACAAACCCUAAUCUAGAGUAUUUCUCUAAAAAAUGAAAACUUUUCAAAAAUAGCAGCUUUUGAGAAAUUAUUUAAAAGUACAACCAAUUGAUGAAAAACUCAGAAAAAAUACUCAUCUAUCCACAAAUAUUCUUGUUAUCCUAAUUUCUAAAUCACAAACCCUAAUCUAUAGUAUUUCUCUAAAAAAUGAAAACUUUCCAAAAAUAGCAGUUUUUUAGAAAAUUAUUUUAAAUACUGUAGAACUGAUGAAAAAUUCUUAAAGUAUACUAAUCUAUCCACAAAUAUUCUUGUUAUCCUAAUUUCUAAAUCACAAACCCUAAUCUAUAGUAUUUCUCUAAAAAAUGAAAACUUUCCAAAAAUAGCAGUUUUUUAGAAAAUUAUUUUAAAUACUGUAGAACUGAUGAAAAAUUCUUAAAGUAUACUAAUCUAUCCACAAAUAUUCUUGUUAUCCUAAUUUCUAAAUCACAAACCCUAAUCUAUAGUAUUUCUCUAAAAAAUGAAAACUUUCCAAAAAUAGCAGUUUUUUAGAAAAUUAUUUUAAAUACUGUAGAACUGAUGAAAAAUUCUUAAAGUAUACUAAUCUAUCCACAAAUAUUCUUGUUAUCCUAAUUUCUAAAUCACAAACCCUAAUCUAUAGUAUUUCUCUAAAAAAUGAAAACUUUCCAAAAAUAGCAGUUUUUUAGAAAAUUAUUUUAAAUACUGUAGAACUGAUGAAAAAUUCUUAAAGUAUACUAAUCUAUCCACAAAUAUUCUUGUUAUCCUAAUUUCUAAAUCACAAACCCUAAUCUAUAGUAUUUCUCUAAAAAAUGAAAACUUUCCAAAAAUAGCAGUUUUUUAGAAAAUUAUUUUAAAUACUGUAGAACUGAUGAAAAAUUCUUAAAGUAUACUAAUCUAUCCACAAAUAUUCUUGUUAUCCUAAUUUCUAAAUCACAAACCCUAAUCUAUAGUAUUUCUCUAAAAAAUGAAAACUUUCCAAAAAUAGCAGUUUUUUAGAAAAUUAUUUUAAAUACUGUAGAACUGAUGAAAAAUUCUUAAAGUAUACUAAUCUAUCCACAAAUAUUCUUGUUAUCCUAAUUUCUAAAUCACAAACCCUAAUCUAUAGUAUUUCUCUAAAAAAUGAAAACUUUCCAAAAAUAGCAGUUUUUUAGAAAAUUAUUUUAAAUACUGUAGAACUGAUGAAAAAUUCUUAAAGUAUACUAAUCUAUCCACAAAUAUUCUUGUUAUCCUAAUUUCUAAAUCACAAACCCUAAUCUAUAGUAUUUCUCUAAAAAAUGAAAACUUUCCAAAAAUAGCAGUUUUUUAGAAAAUUAUUUUAAAUACUGUAGAACUGAUGAAAAAUUCUUAAAGUAUACUAAUCUAUCCACAAAUAUUCUUGUUAUCCUAAUUUCUAAAUCACAAACCCUAAUCUAUAGUAUUUCUCUAAAAAAUGAAAACUUUCCAAAAAUAGCAGUUUUUUAGAAAAUUAUUUUAAAUACUGUAGAACUGAUGAAAAAUUCUUAAAGUAUACUAAUCUAUCCACAAAUAUUCUUGUUAUCCUAAUUUCUAAAUCACAAACCCUAAUCUAUAGUAUUUCUCUAAAAAAUGAAAACUUUCCAAAAAUAGCAGUUUUUUAGAAAAUUAUUUUAAAUACUGUAGAACUGAUGAAAAAUUCUUAAAGUAUACUAAUCUAUCCACAAAUAUUCUUGUUAUCCUAAUUUCUAAAUCACAAACCCUAAUCUAUAGUAUUUCUCUAAAAAAUGAAAACUUUCCAAAAAUAGCAGUUUUUUAGAAAAUUAUUUUAAAUACUGUAGAACUGAUGAAAAAUUCUUAAAGUAUACUAAUCUAUCCACAAAUAUUCUUGUUAUCCUAAUUUCUAAAUCACAAACCCUAAUCUAUAGUAUUUCUCUAAAAAAUGAAAACUUUCCAAAAAUAGCAGUGUUUUAGAAAAUUAUUUAAAAAUACAACCUAUUGAUGAAAAACUCAGAAAAAAUACUCAUCUAUCCACAAAUAUUCUUGUUAUCCUAAUUUCUAAAUCACAAACCCUAAUCUACAGUAUUUUUCUAAAGAAUGAAACUUUUCAAAAAUAGCAACUUUUAAGAAAAUUAUUUAAAAAUACAACCUAUUGAUUGAAAAACUCAGAUAUUCUUGUUAUUUAAUAACAUUCAUCUAUGCACAAAUAUUUUUGGUUAUCCUAAUUUCUAAAUCAAAAACCCUAAUCUACAGUAUUUCUCUAAAAAAUGAAAACUUUCCAAAUAUAGCAGCUUUUAAGAAAAUUAUUUAAAAAUACAACCUAUUGAUGAAAAACUCAGAAAAAAUACUCAUCUAUCCACAAAUAUUCUUGCUAGUUUCAAAAUCACAAAACCUAAUCUACAAUAUUUCUCAAGAAAAUGAAAACUUUCCAAAAAUAGCAGUUUUUAAGAAAAUUAUUUAUAAAUACAACAUAUUCAUGAAAAAUUCUUAAAGAAUACUCAUAUAUCCAAAAAUAUUCUUGUUAUACUAGUUUCAAAAUCACAAAACCUAAUCUACAAUAUUUUUCAAGAAAAUGAAAACUUUCCAAAAAUAGCAGUUUUUAAGAAAAUUAUUUAUAAAUACAACAUAUUCAUGAAAAAUUCUUAAAGAAUACUCAUAUAUCCAAAAAUAUUCUUGUUAUACUAGUUUCAAAAUCACAAAACCUAAUCUACAAUAUUUUUCAAGAAAAUGAAAACUUUCCAAAAAUAGCAGUUUUUAAGAAAAUUAUUUAUAAAUACAACAUAUUCAUGAAAAAUUCUUAAAGAAUACUCAUAUAUCCAAAAAUAUUCUUGUUAUACUAGUUUCAAAAUCACAAAACCUAAUCUACAAUAUUUUUCAAGAAAAUGAAAACUUUCCAAAAAUAGCAGUUUUUAAGAAAAUUAUUUAAAAAUACAACCUAUUGAUGAAAAAAUCAGAAAGAAUACUCAUAUAUCCAAAAAUAUUCUUGUUAUCCUUAUUUCUAAAUCACAAACCCUAAUCUACAGUAUUUCUCUAAAAAAUGAAAACUUUCCAAAUAUAGCAGCUUUUAAGAAAAUUAUUUAAAAAUACAACCUAUUGAUGAAAAACUCACAAAAAAUACUCAUCUAUCCACAAAUAUUCUUGUUAUCCUAAUUUCUAAAUCACAAACCCUAAUUACAGUAUUUCUCUAAAAAAAUAAUAUAGCAGCUUUUAAGAAAAUUAUUUCAAUAUACAACCUAUUGAUUGAAAAAGUCAGAAAAAUACUCAUUUAUCCACAAAUUUUCUUGUUAUCCUAAUUUCUAAAUCACAAACCGUAAUCUACAGUAUUUUUCUAAAAAAUGUAAACUUUCCAAAAAUAGCAGUUUUUAAGAAAAUUAUUUAAAAAUGCAGCUUAUUGAUGAAAAACUUUAAAAAAAAUACUCAUCUAUGCACAAAUAUUCUUGUUAUCCUAAUUUCUAAAUCAAAAACACUAAUCUACAGUAUUUCUCUAAAAAAUGAAAACUUUCCAAAAAUAGCAAAUUUUUAGAAAAUUAUUUAAAAUACUGUAGAAUUGAUGAAAAAUUCUUUAAGUAUACUAAUCUAUCCAAAAAUAUUCUUGUUAUCCUAAUUUCCAAAUCACAAACCCUAAUCUAGAGUAUUUCUCUAAAAAAUGAAAACUUUUCAAAAAUAGCAGCUUUUAUAAUAAUUAUUUAAAAAUACAAACUACUGAUGAAAAACUCAGAAAAAAAUACUCAUCUAUCCACAAAUAUUCUUGUUAUCCUAAUGUUUAAAUCACAAACCCUAAUCUACAGUAUUUCUCUAAAAAAAUGAAAAAUUUCAAAAAAUAGAA
This 6848-nucleotide long non-coding RNA is filed under the name Brassica napus (rape). RNAcentral describes it as "long non-coding RNA (BNAP_LNC000659)". The record is from RNAcentral. Lineage: Eukaryota; Viridiplantae; Streptophyta; Magnoliopsida; Brassicales; Brassicaceae.